GUGUUAGCAGCCGCGGUAAUACGUAAGGACCGAGCGUUGUCCGGAAUCAUUGGGCGUAAAGGGUACGUAGGCGGCUAGAAAAGUUAGAAGUCAAAGGCUAUAGCUCAACUAUAGUAAGCUUCUAAAACUAUUUAGCUUGAGAAAUGGAAGGGAAAGUGGAAUUCCUAGUGUAGCGGUGGAAUGCGCAGAUAUUAGGAAGAAUACCGGUGGCGAAGGCGACUUUCUGGCCAUUAUCUGACGCUGAGGUACGAAAGCGUGGGUAGCAAACAGGAUUAGAUACCCUCGUAGUCC
This 291-nucleotide ribosomal RNA is filed under the name uncultured Anaerococcus sp. Its description in RNAcentral is "partial 16S ribosomal RNA". It matches the Rfam family "Bacterial small subunit ribosomal RNA", at positions 505 to 796 of the family's 1533-position model. Lineage: Bacteria; Bacillati; Bacillota; Tissierellia; Tissierellales; Peptoniphilaceae. The record is from RNAcentral.